RNAcentral lists this long non-coding RNA (330 nucleotides) under Vulpes vulpes (red fox). RNAcentral's name for it is "lncRNA (ENSVVUG00000027627.1)". The record is from RNAcentral. Lineage: Eukaryota; Metazoa; Chordata; Mammalia; Carnivora; Canidae.
CAUAUGUUUGUUUGCUGGUGUUCAAUGGAACCUGAGGGAGGGCAUAAUGGAUCUCCGUUACUAAACCAUGUGGAAGGCUUCCAGAGAUUUAAUAGUCUACCUCGAGGGCAUGUCUUCCAUCCACUCUGGUAUAUAUCCAACCCAAAGGACUUCCUUCUUGGAUUCUGGUGUUUGUUCUCUGUCCCCACUGUGCCCAUGGAAGUGUCUCACUUUGGUCUCCAUCAUCAUGUCUGCUGUGCAUUCUCUGGACUUAGAGAAGGGAGAAAGAGCGGCAGAGUAUCAGAGGUAAAGAGAAUGCAAGGGAAUCAAAACACCUGGACUUAGGCUUCA